This 66-nucleotide transfer RNA is filed under the name Agonoscena pistaciae. RNAcentral describes it as "tRNA-Gln". The record is from RNAcentral. Lineage: Eukaryota; Metazoa; Arthropoda; Insecta; Hemiptera; Aphalaridae.
UAUAUUUUAGUGUUACUAGCAUUUAAAUUUUUGAAAUUUAAGGUUUAAUUUAGUUUAAAAAUAUAA